Molecule: ribosomal RNA, 499 nt
Rfam family: Bacterial small subunit ribosomal RNA
GGACGAACGCUGGCGGCGUGCCUAAUACAUGCAAGUCGAGCGRGGUGAAUGGGGAGCUUGCUCYCGAUUCACCUAGCGGCGGACGGGUGAGUAACACGUAGGCAACCUGCCCUCAAGACCGGGAUAACAUUCGGAAACGAAUGCUAAGACCGGAUARACAAUCGCUUCGCAUGGAGCGAUUGGGAAACACGGUGCAAGCUGUGGCUUGGGGAUGGGCCUGCGGCGCAUUAGCUAGUUGGUGGGGUAACGGCUCACCAAGGCGACGAUGCGUAGCCGACCUGAGAGGGUGAACGGCCACACUGGGACUGAGACACGGCCCAGACUCCUACGGGAGGCAGCAGUAGGGAAUCUUCCACAAUGGGCGCAAGCCUGAUGGAGCAACGCCGCGUGAGUGAGGAAGGCUUUCGGGUCGUAAAGCUCUGUUGCCAGGGAAGAAUAAGGAUAUGUUAACUGCAUAUUCGAUGACGGUACCUGAGAAGAAAGCCCCGGCUAACUACGU